Molecule: ribosomal RNA, 301 nt
Filed under: uncultured bacterium
Lineage: Bacteria
Description: partial 16S ribosomal RNA
Rfam family: Bacterial small subunit ribosomal RNA
Source: RNAcentral
CAGUCGCCGCGGUAAUACGUAGGGUGCGAGCGUUAAUCGGAAUUACUGGGCGUAAAGCGUGCGCAGGCGGUUAUAUAAGUCAGAUGUGAAAUCCCUGGGCUCAACCUGGGAAUGGCAGUGGAUACUGGAAGGCUAGAGUGCGGUAGAGGGUAGUGGAAUUCCCGGUGUAGCAGUGAAAUGCGUAGAGAUCGGGAGGAACACCAGUGGCGAAGGCGGCUACCUGGACCAGCACUGACACUGAAGCACGAAAGCGUGGGGAGCAAACAGGAUUAGAGACCCGCGUAGUCCCUGUCUCUUAUAA